UUCCAUCCCUCACGCCGAGGUCCCUCCCUCACCUGGGGUCCUGCCGCCCCCGCCCCGGCCAGCCCCAGCAGGACCUGUCCCUCACGGCCCGGGGUCUGUAUCUGCACCUGCCGCAGCACUGAUGUCAUGAGAAGGGAGCACAUAACCAGAGCUGUGCGAAGCAUUCGCAAUAAAACCCCAAACCAUGGAAAACUUGUCUCAUCUGUAACUCUGCUAGCAGAAAACUAGGACCAGGUUUGUCAAAAAUACUCACAAAUUGUGAAAGGAGAAAUGCACUCACGCCAUUAAAUAGGAAUAUGUAUUUCGAACAUCCCAAGGACUGGCAGCAUUUGGAUUUAAGGAUUGCCUUCAGUCCUUUAGGAAGACAAAUUCCUGUUAUGCUUUGCAUCAUACAGAAAGCAUCAUUUUCUUUCUGUCUCGAAUUAUUUCCCAAUUUGCUGUGAACAAGAAAGAACAAACCCAAUGGCUGUAUGAAAAAAUAACCCUCUGGGGUUAUACCUACUUCUGUGUCCCAAAAAACACAUCCCUGAACAUGGCUUUUAAGGUACCACAUAAAGCAAAAUCUUUAUUUUGUAACAGUGGAAACUGAUUCUUAUUUUGGUUGCCUCACACUUUCCACUAUAAAAUAGCCUUGCAGCUUGGAAGCUCUGACACUAUUAUUCACAGCAGGCCUUUGAAAUUUGCAGAAAGUCCUGUAGCAAGAGGAACAACUUUUUUUCUUCUUCUCCAAUGAAAUGGUUUUCAUAGUUUGCCAAAGAUUCAUCUAUUGAAAAAAAAAAAAAAAAUCCUUGUUUUCCUUCUGACAUGCUCUGCAGUAAGGUUUUGACAUGAUGCCAGACUGAGAGCGAAGCAGAGGCACUCGGAGGUCAGGCCAGGCUCUGUGGGAGUGGAACACCAGGGAUUAUCAGGGUGGGGGGCUGCGGGCAGGGCAGGCCCGGGGUACCCCAGAGGGAGCAGCCCUGGCCCUGCCACAGCAGGCGCCACUCUCACGAGGCCCACUGGAGUCUCCUUCCUAUGCACAGAUAUUUCAGUUGUAUUCUCACUUCCUAAUUCUGAGCGUUUCUGCCUUCACCUUGAUCAUCUUUUUGUGCUUGUUUUGGGGCUGGAAAUUAGCACUUUUUAAAAGCAGUUUGGUAGCAUGGAAGAAUCCAACAGAUGUGGUCUUAAUAGUGUAAACCCUUGCCACCACACUCCUGUGCUGUCACACCGAGUGUGGGCAAAGUGUGGGCCAGCUGACCUUUAGAGAUCCCUUCCAACCCAAACAGUCCAGGAGUCUUUCCCUGUGCAUUUAUCCUGGCCUGUUGUAAAGUACUAGCUGAGGUGGAGUAAAGAAUUAAGUUGUUUAGUUCCUUUUUCUAGCUCAUCUCAGUUAAAAUGAAUAAAAUUCGUAUACUAGCUUAAAAGAUUGGGAAGGAAAUACUUUUCACCCGUUGUGCUUCUCUCUGAAUCUGUUCCAUUUUGUAAUUUGCAGCUAAAAAUAGUUUCUGUCCAGUGGCUGCUAAUGAGGAAAGAGCUGACUGUUUCAUCCUCGUUUAUAAUAAACAAGACUCCUCUUCAAAAACCCAAGUUUCCAUCUGAAGGAGAACAUCAAAAUGAUUGUUUUUAAAGCUGAUGCUGCUCUCUAAUUACAGAGCAACUGCUGGUCCCAAAACAGAUGCUCCUCCUGGGAUCCCAUGGACCACUCGCAGCAGGCUGCAUCCACCAGAGCUCUUUCUCACGACACCUCUCUCCUGGCCAGCAACUUCUGCACGUACCCCACAUACUCUGGGCUGUCUUGUCACAGACAUUUGACAAUAUUUUGUUUCCUCUGGAACUCCGUAAAGCUUUUUAUGCAUUUAUACAUUUAAAGCUUUUAUUCCAACUCCUCCUAAAAGUCCCAUCCCUCCUUUUCUUUUUUUUUUUUCUGUUUAAACUUGACUAAUUGUGAAAAAGGAGGGAAUGGUUGCUGUUUGUUUUGGGUAGGUGGCUUUGGCUCUCCCUGUGAGAAGUGUGUGUAUUGUAGAGUGAGAUCUCUCCAGUUCACUGACUGCAUUUUCUUAGCCAACCUUUUGUCCUGUCUUUGUAUUUUAUGUGUGCAGACACUCUGGUGUAUAUGAGAGCUGCAAAUUCACUGCUCUAAAACUAAAAAUAACCCUUUUGUCUCAAAUUCUUGCAUGCAGGCAGAACCUAUGCUGCUUUUGGCAAGGGCAGGGUUAAAAUGCCAUCCCAGGACAGGAAUGCUACAACAGGAAUUAGCAGGCAUCUCUGGAUCAGACCAUCACUAUUUAACCAGGCAACGUGUUCAGACCCAGAAUAAGCUGCUCCUUCAGUGUGAGAGGCCACACUCCAGACACAGGCAGCCUGAUCAACAGUCUUCCUGAGCUGCUGUGAAGAUUUUUAAGAUACUCACACUUUAAUAACUUAAAAAUAAACUUCUGUGUGUACAAUAAAA
Long non-coding RNA from Passer domesticus (house sparrow), 2431 nucleotides. RefSeq lists it as uncharacterized. The record is from RefSeq and is a predicted model, not a curated record. Lineage: Eukaryota; Metazoa; Chordata; Aves; Passeriformes; Passeridae. The transcript has 3 exons.